Molecule: ribosomal RNA, 492 nt
Filed under: uncultured bacterium
Lineage: Bacteria
Description: partial 16S ribosomal RNA
Rfam family: Bacterial small subunit ribosomal RNA
Source: RNAcentral
AGUGAACGCUGGCGGUAGGCCUAACACAUGCAAGUCGAACGGCAACACAGUAAGAGCUUGCUCUUACGUGUGGCGAGUGGCGGGCGGGUGAGGAAUACGUCAGAAUCUCCUUUUUCGUGGGGGAUAAAGUGGGGACAGUUACGAUAAUAGCGCAUCCGACCUACGGGAGAGAGCAGGGGCUCUUCGGACCUUGCCCUCUUGAGUGAGCCGAUGUGGGAUUAGCUAGUUGGCGGGGUAAGGGCCCACCAAGGCGACGAUCCGUAGCUGGUCUGAGAGGAUGACCAGCCACACUGGAACUGAGACACGGUCCAGACUCCUACGGGAGGCAGCAGUGGGGAAUAUUGGACAAUGGGCGCAAGCCUGAUGCAGCCAUACCGCGUGGGUGAAGAAGGCCUUCGGGUUGUAAAGCCCUUUUGUCGGGAAAGAAAAGCAGCAGGUUAAUACCUCGAUGUUCUGACGGUACCCAAAGAAGAAGCACCGGCUAACUUCGUG